UAUCAGACCAAGUGAAGGAACAUCUUCUCUGUGCUGAAGCUCUGAGAUGAGUGCAGAGUUUCCGGACCACAACGGAGAAGUUCCUUCACUCCAUUCAUGCCUUCUUCAUACCGUACUCACUGUAUACUCAUAGUAUUGUAUGCCAUGAAAUUUUUUUAUAAAAAAGUAAGUAAUAGUAGUAGUAUGUAUUAUGUCAAAAUAUCGCUGAAAAAGUCACACAGAAUGUCAAAAAGUGUUAUUACAUAGUUAUUACAGUGUAAUAACACUGUUAUAACUUGUAUUAUGUCAAAAAGCUGUCAAAAAGUCGUACAGAAUGUUAAAAAGUGUUAUUACAUUGUAAUAACACUGUUAUAACAUGUUAUGUCAGAAAAUCUGUCA
Sander lucioperca (pikeperch) is the source of this 378-nucleotide long non-coding RNA. RefSeq lists it as uncharacterized. Lineage: Eukaryota; Metazoa; Chordata; Actinopteri; Perciformes; Percidae. The transcript has 2 exons. The record is from RefSeq and is a predicted model, not a curated record.